This 775-nucleotide ribosomal RNA is filed under the name Arthrobacter sp. LMR338. Its description in RNAcentral is "bacterial SSU rRNA". It matches the Rfam family "Bacterial small subunit ribosomal RNA", at positions 62 to 850 of the family's 1533-position model. The record is from RNAcentral. Lineage: Bacteria; Bacillati; Actinomycetota; Actinomycetes; Micrococcales; Micrococcaceae.
UCGACGAUGAUCCCAGCUUGCUGGGGGAUUAGUGGCGAACGGGUGAGUAACACGUGAGUAACCUGCCCUUGACUCUGGGAUAAGCCUGGGAAACUGGGUCUAAUACCGGAUACGACCAUCUGGCGCAUGUCAUGGUGGUGGAAAGCUUUUGUGGUUUUGGAUGGACUCGCGGCCUAUCAGCUUGUUGGUGGGGUAAUGGCCUACCAAGGCGACGACGGGUAGCCGGCCUGAGAGGGUGACCGGCCACACUGGGACUGAGACACGGCCCAGACUCCUACGGGAGGCAGCAGUGGGGAAUAUUGCACAAUGGGCGCAAGCCUGAUGCAGCGACGCCGCGUGAGGGAUGACGGCCUUCGGGUUGUAAACCUCUUUCAGUAGGGAAGAAGCGUAAGUGACGGUACCUGCAGAAGAAGCGCCGGCUAACUACGUGCCAGCAGCCGCGGUAAUACGUAGGGCGCAAGCGUUAUCCGGAAUUAUUGGGCGUAAAGAGCUCGUAGGCGGUUUGUCGCGUCUGCUGUGAAAGACCGGGGCUCAACUCCGGUUCUGCAGUGGGUACGGGCAGACUAGAGUGCAGUAGGGGAGACUGGAAUUCCUGGUGUAGCGGUGAAAUGCGCAGAUAUCAGGAGGAACACCGAUGGCGAAGGCAGGUCUCUGGGCUGUAACUGACGCUGAGGAGCGAAAGCAUGGGGAGCGAACAGGAUUAGAUACCCUGGUAGUCCAUGCCGUAAACGUUGGGCACUAGGUGUGGGGGACAUUCCACGUUUUCCGCGCCGUA